This is a non-coding RNA of Bombyx mori (domestic silkworm), 85 nucleotides long. The record is from Rfam. NCBI's taxonomy places the organism in Eukaryota, Metazoa, Arthropoda, Insecta, Lepidoptera, Bombycidae.
CUCAGUCAAAUUUGUACGGAGUUGGAACAGCUUCCCUUCGUUUGCCGCUAGGGGCGCUGUUCCAACUCCAUACAAAUUUGAGUUA